Non-coding RNA from Salmo salar (Atlantic salmon), 1201 nucleotides. The record is from RefSeq and is a predicted model, not a curated record. Lineage: Eukaryota; Metazoa; Chordata; Actinopteri; Salmoniformes; Salmonidae.
UAAGGAGGUGGUAUGCAAUUAAACGAAUUGCUUGCGGCUACAUUAUGAGAUGAGUGGGCUUGUUUUUACUAGAAAUCCUUCGCUGUCUCGCCUCGUAUUAUUGAUGGUUUCCAGGUGAACCCUUCCAGACCUUCCUCUCCUCUCAGGCGAUUGAUGAAGCCUAAACACUCCAAAACCUGCAAACGGAAAAACAAGAAAGGAACUUGUUAACCAAGGAACCAACACAUCGCAAAGACCUGUGACAUUUCAACACAUUCAAUCAAUUAAAAAGCUUCAAUUCAAAAGUAUUUUAACAACCAGCCACGGAUUCAGUUGAGAGCGACAGUAUAUUGGUGGCGUACUGCACUCACUUUGACUUGGUCUGAUUAGAAUGAAUUGGACUGAUCAAUUAAUCCCAAUUGAGAAGUACUGUACAAACCUCUAACAACACACACACAGACCAGCUGGGCUGUGAUGUACCACACCAAGACAGUGCCUGAGAGUCAGCGUGCACUAUGAACUGUGAGUUUGGUCGAUACGCCCGGCCAGGCUUCAGUCCCAUACAAAGGGCCUGUAUCGUCACACUUCAACCUCCUCUUCCUCCAACAGUGCAUAGUCCAUGUAGCCCCAUGUAUAUGGCUGCCUGAGAGUGUGGCGUGUGUGUGUGUCAGUCCAGGCCUCAGACUCAGUACUGUGUUAAUAAUGCAAAGUGAUUCAGCUGGUCCCCUAAGAGCCUCUUUGUAUGACAACACACUGAAGAUAAUCAGGCCCUCCUGCCUCGGCCUAAAUGGCCUGCCUGCCCGCCCAGUGUGUGUGUGUGUGUGUGUGUGUGCGUGUAUGAGAGUGUGUGUGUGUGUCUUUUAAAACAAACUCCUCCUCAGCUCCUCAACCCACUCGCCGCAAGGAGGAACCAUUUAUUGGUUCCCAGGUCAUAUAGGCACUUCUCUUUAUUUGAGGGGGACUAUUACAGUCGCCAAACAAUGGCCUCCGCCUGCAGAAGCUGACCUGAUUGGAUAGCUCGCUGUUCUGCUACAGGGAACAAGGAACGAGUGUGGAAGAGAGGAAGGAGAAAGACAGAGGGGGAGGAAAAAAGACACUGCCAGGUUACAAGGGAUUCUGGGAGUUGGCGCCUCUUCAGAGCGACUCCAAAGCCUUUUUUUUGUGUGUGUGUUUAAUUAUUGAUGUAAAUAAAAAUACCAUAUGUCUCCAUUAGAAUACAUUA